CCCGCUGAACUUAAGCAUAUCAAUAAGCGGAGGAAAAGAAACCAACAGGGAUUGCCUUAGUAACGGCGAGUGAAGCGGCAACAGCUCAAAUUUGAAAUCUGGCUCCUUCAGGGCCCGAGUUGUAAUUUGUAGAGGAUGCUUCGGCGUCGGCUCCGGUCUAAGUUCCUUGGAACAGGACGUCAUAGAGGGUGAGAAUCCCGUAUGUGAUCGGUUGCCUUUGCCAUGUGAAGCUCCUUCGACGAGUCGAGUUGUUUGGGAAUGCAGCUCUAAAUGGGAGGUAAAUUUCUUCUAAAGCUAAAUACUGGCCAGAGACCGAUAGCGCACAAGUAGAGUGAUCGAAAGAUGAAAAGCACUUUGGAAAGAGAGUCAAAAAGUACGUGAAAUUGUUGAAAGGGAAGCGCUUGCGACCAGACUCGCCUGCGGGGUUCAGCCGGUAUUCGUACCGGUGUACUUCCCCGUGGGCGGGCCAGCGUCGGUUUGGGCGGCCGGUCAAAGGCCCUCGGAAUGUAACGCCUCUCGGGGCGUCUUAUAGCCGAGGGUGCCAUGCGGCCAGCCCGGACCGAGGAACGCGCUUCGGCACGGACGCUGGCAUAAUGGUCGUAAGCGACCCGUCUUGAAACACGG
RNAcentral lists this ribosomal RNA (624 nucleotides) under uncultured fungus. RNAcentral's name for it is "eukaryotic LSU rRNA". It matches the Rfam family "Eukaryotic large subunit ribosomal RNA", at positions 24 to 664 of the family's 3401-position model. The record is from RNAcentral. Lineage: Eukaryota; Fungi.